Molecule: long non-coding RNA, 1264 nt
Organism: Pseudophryne corroboree (corroboree frog)
Lineage: Eukaryota; Metazoa; Chordata; Amphibia; Anura; Myobatrachidae
Exons: 2
Source: RefSeq, a predicted model, not a curated record
UGCUGUGAGUGUAGCUGAGGGAGAGACUGCAUAUCCCUUGGUGAGAGGACAUAGUUUUUUGCUGCUCCGGCCGUCGCCCGCAUUAGAGCUGAGCGGUAUACAUUGCGGCGGCCGGAGGGGGCUUAGUGUGUGUAGCCAGAACAGGGCUUCCUUACUGUAAAGGUGGUGACAGCAGCAUUGAGACUCAGCACUGUUCAUAGAACCCAAGAUCAGCGCUAGUCAACUCACCCAGCAGUAUUGGAAGGGCACAUCUGUGACAGGGAGACAGAGAGGGUUCCUUCCUACCUAUUACCGGCACAGACUCUGACAGCCACAACAAAGAAGCCAGGACCAGAAGCAGAGGCUCCAUUCUGUGUGGCUAUGAGCCAAGAUCCCCAAGAUACAACCCACUGCAAAUAGAUGAUGAUGGGACAUUUACUUUGCAUCUGUAUUCUGGCACACCCCCACAGGUCCAAACUCCAAGACACCUAGCCCUGACUUACAGGAGCCAACAACACAAGUAGGUGUUGAAGCUGCCACUGACUUCCUGAAUUCCAUGGCUUCAUUCCAUCAGGACUGUUAGACACAUCAAUGAAGCAUUUGUUACAAAUUUGUUGAUAGUUGUGAAAACGUGACUGUACUUUUAUGUUAAUUUAUUGUUAAUUUCAUGCUGUUAAAUGAAAAUGUCAUGCAGCUCAACAUCAAUUUCGCACAGGGUUUUUCAGUAAUGACCAGGAGGCACAAACCUAGUCAAAUGUGGCCUUUCAAGAAAACAUCAUUCAUCUCUUUGAAGGCCAAAAUAACUUACUAAGGGAGAUUAAUGCAAAUGUAUCAAUCUUAGCACAACAAAAUGUUGGUGGCCUCCCUGAGGCAUCACGUUGGCCCAGUAGCAGUGCCCACCCCUCACCUGCAAUAACUCCACCCAGGCAUGGGGCCCGUACUAGAGGAGGUGGUACUGGUCUUUGGCACUCCUCACCCUCCCCUAGCCAUCCACCAAAAAGAUACAUUAAGUCAUUAUUUAAGAUUAUCCACAAAAAACCUUUUGUUUGUUACAUAACAUUUUUUAGCAAUCAUUUCUUUGCUUAAGAAGAAGCAGUGUUUAUUUUGUAGUUUAUACAUUACUUUCAAAAUGUUUGUAAAAAUUGUUCUUGGGUUCACAAACCAAUGUUUUAACAAUGCUGCAUACAAAGCAUUGUAUGAAAUGUGAAUAUAACGCUACUUUUGAGGCAUUUAAGCCUACAGUAUGUUUGCCUGUAUAUUGGUCAAAUUAAACAUGAUUUUCUAA